CCUACGGGUGGCAGCAGUGAGGAAUAUUGGUCAAUGGACGAGAGUCUGAACCAGCCAAGUAGCGUGAAGGAUGACUGCCCUAUGGGUUGUAAACUUCUUUUAUAUGGGAAUAAAAUGUUCCACGUGUGGGAUUUUGUAUGUACCAUAUGAAUAAGGAUCGGCUAACUCCGUGCCAGCAGCCGCGGUAAUACGGAGGAUCCGAGCGUUAUCCGGAUUUAUUGGGUUUAAAGGGAGCGUAGGUGGAUUGUUAAGUCAGUUGUGAAAGUUUGCGGCUCAACAGUAAAAUUGCAGUUGAAACUGGCAGUCUUGAGGACAGUAGAGGUGGGCGGAAUUCGUGGUGUAGCGGUGAAAUGCUUAGAUAUCACGAAGAACUCCGAUUGCGAAGGCAGUUCACUGGACUGCAACUGACACUGAGGUUCGAAAGUGUGGGUAUCAAACAGGAUUAGAUACCCCAGUAGUC
RNAcentral lists this ribosomal RNA (460 nucleotides) under uncultured bacterium. Its description in RNAcentral is "partial 16S ribosomal RNA". It matches the Rfam family "Bacterial small subunit ribosomal RNA", at positions 338 to 795 of the family's 1533-position model. The record is from RNAcentral.